ACCUUAUAUCUCAAUCUCAGCGAUUAACUCUUACUCUACACACUUCGUUGAAUCGCUAAACUCAUCAAUCAAUAAACUACCUAGUGUUAAUAACGCGCUGAUUCACCGACGACUAUACGCUGUUUCGGCCUCAUACAAAUGUUUUUAUGUACAUAUUGAGUAUGUAGGAAUAUUACGAUUUGCAAUUAUCUUUCGCAAUUCAGCGAACAGCACCAGCUGUUUAAGUACUUAAUCAGUGAAGCCGGUUAAGUGCAAAACCUGAAUGAAUCAUGUGGAUUGUGAGUUGUGGAUGCUAAACAGCUGUAAUACACACCAGUGCAAUACAUAUGACCGUUUCAAAAUAUGUAUGUUUGUUUGUACAUACACAAUUUACCACAGCAUUGAACCACCUUGCGGAAAAUUGAUUUUUCACCGAUUCUUCAGACAUAGUUUUCCAUCAAAAAUACGCUUAGAUAAAUAUAACACAGACUAUUUUCCAACAAUGCACUUACCGCAAAUAAAGUACUUAAAAAUGUCUGCCA
This is a long non-coding RNA of Bactrocera oleae (olive fruit fly), 521 nucleotides long. RefSeq lists it as uncharacterized. NCBI's taxonomy places the organism in Eukaryota, Metazoa, Arthropoda, Insecta, Diptera, Tephritidae. The record is from RefSeq and is a predicted model, not a curated record.